Molecule: ribosomal RNA, 730 nt
Filed under: Nasutitermes jaraguae
Lineage: Eukaryota; Metazoa; Arthropoda; Insecta; Blattodea; Termitidae
Description: partial large subunit ribosomal RNA
Rfam family: Bacterial large subunit ribosomal RNA (bases 292-500)
Source: RNAcentral
UUAAUUCAUACAUCUUAUUUAAUUUCUGUUGUUGAUUUAUUUAUUUUUAUUUGAUGUUAAGAUUGAGGGGGAUUAGCUCCUUGUUCUGCUUUUAUAAUUGUCUAUUGUUAAUUUAGUUUUGUGGAUUUUAUGGUGAUUUUCUAUUUGAUUAUGUUAAAAUUUUAUUUGUUCUUUUUUUAAUUUUUUGUUAUUUAAGUUAUUUAUUGAAAUGUUUUCUUUACUUUAGUUUGUAUGGUAAUUAUUGUGUAAUUAGUAAAUUUUAUUGAUUGUUUUGUGAUUACGGUAGGUGUUAAUUGCUUUUAAGGAAUUCGGCAAAAUUUUAUGUCCGCCUGUUUAACAAAAACAUCUUUUCUUGUUAGUUUUUGAAGUAUGGCCUGCCCACUGACUUUAAGUUGAAGGGCCGCGGUAUUUUGACCGUGCAAAGGUAGCAUAAUCAUUAGUUCUUUAAUUGUGAUCUGGUAUGAAUGGCUUGACGAGACAUAAGCUGUCUUGGAAGUAUUGUUUUAUUGAAUUUGGUUUUUGAGUUAAAAUUCUUAAAUGUUUUUAUGGGACGAGAAGACCCUAUAGAGUUUGACAAUUUUCUUAUUUAUUCGUUGUUUGUUUGUUUCACUGAGUGGGAAUAGUUGUUUUGUUGGGGUGAUGGGAGGAAUAUUAUUUAACUCCUCUUUGUUUUUGUAUAUUUAUGUAUAUAUUUUUGAUCCAUUUAUUUUGAUUAUAAGAUUAAAUUACC